GAUGAACGCUGGCGGCGUGCUUAACACAUGCAAGUCGAACGGAAAGGCCAGUGCUUGCACUGGUACUCGAGUGGCGAACGGGUGAGUAACACGUGGGUGAUCUGCCCUGCACUUCGGGAUAAGCUUGGGAAACUGGGUCUAAUACCGGAUAGGACCACUUCGUUGUUGUUGUGGUGGAAAGUUUUUUCGGUGUGGGAUGAGCUCGCGGCCUAUCAGCUUGUUGGUGGGGUAAUGGCCUACCAAGGCGUCGACGGGUAGCCGGCCUGAGAGGGUGUACGGCCACAUUGGGACUGAGAUACGGCCCAGACUCCUACGGGAGGCAGCAGUGGGGAAUAUUGCACAAUGGGCGGAAGCCUGAUGCAGCGACGCCGCGUGGGGGAUGACGGCCUUCGGGUUGUAAACUCCUUUCGCCAAAGACGAAUUUUUGACGGUAUUUGGAGAAGAAGCACCGGCUAACUACGUGCCAGCAGCCGCGGUAAUACGUAGGGUGCGAGCGUUGUCCGGAAUUACUGGGCGUAAAGAGCUCGUAGGUGGUUUGUCGCGUCGUUUGUGUAAGCCCAUGGCUUAACUGUGGGACUGCAGGCGAUACGGGCAUAACUUGAGUGCUGUAGGGGAGACUGGAAUUCCUGGUGUAGCGGUGAAAUGCGCAGAUAUCAGGAGGAACACCGAUGGCGAAGGCAGGUCUCUGGGCAGUUACUGACGCUGAGGAGCGAAAGCAUGGGGAGCGAACAGGAUUAGAUACCCUGGUAGUCCAUGCCGUAAACGGUGGGCGCUAGGUGUGGGUCCCUUCCACGGGGUUCGUGCCGUAGCUAACGCAUUAAGCGCCCCGCCUGGGGAGUACGGCCGCAAGGCUAAAACUCAAAGGAAUUGACGGGGGCCCGCACAAGCGGCGGAGCAUGUGGAUUAAUUCGAUGCAACGCGAAGAACCUUACCUGGGCUUGACAUACACCGGAUCGCUGCAGAGAUGUAGUUUCCCUUGUGGCUGGUGUACAGGUGGUGCAUGGUUGUCGUCAGCUCGUGUCGUGAGAUGUUGGGUUAAGUCCCGCAACGAGCGCAACCCUUGUCUUAUGUUGCCAGCAUUUGGUUGGGGACUCAUGAGAGACUGCCGGGGUUAACUCGGAGGAAGGUGGGGAUGACGUCAAAUCAUCAUGCCCCUUAUGUCCAGGGCUUCACACAUGCUACAAUGGUCGGUACAACGCGCAGCGAGCCUGUGAGGGUGAGCGAAUCGCUGAAAGCCGGUCGUAGUUCGGAUUGGGGUCUGCAACUCGACCCCAUGAAGUCGGAGUCGCUAGUAGUCGCAGAUCAGCAACGCUGCGGUGAAUACGUUCCCGGGCCU
This 1336-nucleotide ribosomal RNA is filed under the name uncultured bacterium. Its description in RNAcentral is "bacterial SSU rRNA". It matches the Rfam family "Bacterial small subunit ribosomal RNA", at positions 28 to 1381 of the family's 1533-position model. The record is from RNAcentral.